This is a non-coding RNA of Stereum hirsutum FP-91666 SS1, 104 nucleotides long. The record is from the annotation of a RefSeq genome assembly. Lineage: Eukaryota; Fungi; Basidiomycota; Agaricomycetes; Russulales; Stereaceae.
AGUCCGGUAGCUCAGCCGGUCAUAGAGCUGGGGAAAUAGUCAUCCAGAAGACAUCUGACUGAUCAAUUAUCCCAAAGACGCUGGUUCGACUCCAGCCCGGAGUA